Manis javanica (Malayan pangolin) is the source of this 1092-nucleotide non-coding RNA. The record is from RefSeq and is a predicted model, not a curated record. NCBI's taxonomy places the organism in Eukaryota, Metazoa, Chordata, Mammalia, Pholidota, Manidae.
UUUGGAGAGGAAAUAGAGAAUGUGUGACCAGUUUUACAAUUUCCCCCACAGCUCUUCCUCCAAAACAGCUCAAACAGCCCUGUCACAAAUAAACAAGUCUAUUUAUUUGUGUCCAUGCUUAUUAUCAGUCCUCCUACCCCCUGAAUCAUAUAAGCUCCAUGAAAGCAGGCGCCAAUUCUAUUUUGUUCUCUUGUAUUCUCAGUGUCCUGAACAGUGCCUGCUAGGCCUCCAGUAAGUAUAUAUUGACUGGACUUCUCCAAGAGUUGGUGUGGUGGUGUGGAGCAGGCAGGGUGCCAGAGGGUUAGAGGAAUUGAAAGGUGGUUAGUGGAUCAUGUGGAGUAAAAUGACUAAUGUAAAUGCAUGGGUAAGUGACUGUUACUAGAGAUGGGUGUCCACGAGGCACUCAGAGGAGAGGCCUAACAUCCCUGUCAGGGCUUCUGGGUUCCUUUGACAGCUCUGACCUCAUUGUUCCCUUCUCAUCAUUCAUUGGCUUAUUAUAUUCACAGGCAGGACCUGCUGACUUGAAACACUUUGACCCAGAGUUCACCCAGGAAGCUGUGUCGAAGUCCAUUGGCUGCACUCCUGACACUGUGGCCAGCAGCUCUGGGGCCUCAAGUGCAUUCCUGGGAUUUUCCUAUGCACCAGACGAUGAUGCCAUCUUGGAUUGCUAGAGAAGCAUCUGUGAAACAUGCGAAGACAACUGGUAUCUCCCCCUGCCCCAACAAUUAUGGGGAAUGAAGCUGGAAGACCAUGGAAAACACACCAACGACACUGACACCUAGUGGAGAAAAAAGCUGGGUCAGGAAGAGCUAUUAUUACCCUUUGACAUCUGCUGAGAAUGCUGAAAUACUGAUUUCGAUUUUAUCUUUACAGCGUCUGUUAAUUGACAAAUGUGGAAAAUGAUGAGGGAGAGGCCAAAAUUCCAACUUCCCAAAGCAAACAGUAGAGUGUAAUUAUCAUACGUGUGAUAGUACUGUCAGAACUACACAAUCCACUAUGGGUUGUGAAAACACACAGUGGGUUCUAUGUACUCUGACUAAAAAUCACAAAAUUCUCACCAAGGUAGAAAAUAAAAUGGAAGAAAAACAUUGA